UACCAGCACCCCGAGUGGUCGGGACGUUUAUUGGGCGUAAAGAGCUCGUAGGCGGCUCAGUAAGUCGGGUGUGAAAUUUCAGGGCUCAACCCUGAAACGCCACCCGAUACUGCUGUGGCUAGAGUCCGGUAGGGGAGCGUGGAAUUCCAGGUGUAGCGGUGAAAUGCGUAGAUAUCUGGAGGAACACCGGUGGCGAAGGCGGCAUCCUGGACCGGCAUUGACGCUGAGGCGCGAAAGCCAGGGGAGCAAACGGG
Molecule: ribosomal RNA, 254 nt
Filed under: uncultured bacterium
Lineage: Bacteria
Description: partial 16S ribosomal RNA
Rfam family: Bacterial small subunit ribosomal RNA (bases 27-254)
Source: RNAcentral